RNAcentral lists this ribosomal RNA (600 nucleotides) under Shewanella sp. Its description in RNAcentral is "bacterial SSU rRNA". It matches the Rfam family "Bacterial small subunit ribosomal RNA", at positions 333 to 924 of the family's 1533-position model. Lineage: Bacteria; Pseudomonadati; Pseudomonadota; Gammaproteobacteria; Alteromonadales; Shewanellaceae. The record is from RNAcentral.
AGACUCCUACGGGAGGCAGCAGUGGGGAAUAUUGCACAAUGGGCGAAAGCCUGAUGCAGCCAUGCCGCGUGUGUGAAGAAGGCCUUCGGGUUGUAAAGCACUUUCAGCGAGGAGGAAAGGUUACUUGGCUAAUAUCCAGUAGCUGUGACGUUACUCGCAGAAGAAGCACCGGCUAACUUCGUGCCAGCAGCCGCGGUAAUACGAGGGGUGCAAGCGUUAAUCGGAAUUACUGGGCGUAAAGCGUACGCAGGCGGUUUGUUAAGCGAGAUGUGAAAGCCCCGGGCUCAACCUGGGAACUGCAUUUCGAACUGGCAAACUAGAGUCUUGUAGAGGGGGGUAGAAUUUCAGGUGUAGCGGUGAAAUGCGUAGAGAUCUGAAGGAAUACCGGUGGCGAAGGCGGCCCCCUGGACAAAGACUGACGCUCAGGUACGAAAGCGUGGGGAGCAAACAGGAUUAGAUACCCUGGUAGUCCACGCCGUAAACGAUGUCUACUCGGAGUUUGGUGUCUUGAACACUGGGCUCUCAAGCUAACGCAUUAAGUAGACCGCCUGGGGAGUACGGCCGCAAGGUUAAAACUCAAAUGAAUUGACGGGGGCCCGC